AUCGCUUCUCGGCCUUUUGGCUAAGAUCAAGUGUAAAUAUAUGGGGAAACAUUUUUUUAAAUGACAGAGGAAGAAGCAUAUUUGAACUUAAAAUAUUUUUGAACAGCAAAAAUGAAUUUGCAGGGCUGGGGAUUUAGCUUAGUGGUUCCACUGUCUGCCUCACAAGCGCAAGGACUAGAGUUCAAUCCCUGGUACCGCCCCCCCC
RNAcentral lists this small nuclear RNA (205 nucleotides) under Fukomys damarensis (Damara mole-rat). Its description in RNAcentral is "U2 spliceosomal RNA". It matches the Rfam family "U2 spliceosomal RNA". From Rfam's summary of the family: U2 is a small nuclear RNA (snRNA) component of the spliceosome (involved in pre-mRNA splicing). Complementary binding between U2 snRNA (in an area lying towards the 5' end but 3' to hairpin I) and the branchpoint sequence (BPS) of the intron results the bulging out of an unpaired adenosine, on the BPS, which initiates a nucleophilic attack at the intronic 5' splice site, thus starting the first of two transesterification reactions that mediate splicing. Lineage: Eukaryota; Metazoa; Chordata; Mammalia; Rodentia; Bathyergidae. The record is from Rfam by way of RNAcentral.